This 894-nucleotide ribosomal RNA is filed under the name Placopsis bicolor. RNAcentral describes it as "SSU rRNA". It matches the Rfam family "Bacterial small subunit ribosomal RNA", at positions 1 to 1264 of the family's 1533-position model. The record is from RNAcentral. Lineage: Eukaryota; Fungi; Ascomycota; Lecanoromycetes; Trapeliales; Trapeliaceae.
AAUGUUUAGCGCAAGCUGAUUGCAUAGUCAUUUUUUUACGACAAUAUUAAGUUAAUACAUCUGAUAUGUAUGGUAAGAUAUAUAUAUCUAAUAUGUAUAUCCAAAAAUAUAUAUUGGAUGUAAAUUUAGUUGUGCAAGAUCGACAUUGUUGAAUAAAGUUCUAGGUAGAGUUAUGAUAAUGACAUUUUCUAUCUAUGUGUCUCGACCAAAUCACGUGCCAGCAGUCGCGGUAAGACGUGGGAGACUAGUGUUAUUCAUCUUUAUUUGGUUUAAAGGGUACUUAGACGGCUAAUCAAGCCCGCAAAGGGUACUAAUUGGCUAGAGUUUUAUGUGAGAAGGGGAGUACUAAAGAGUGUAGAGAUGAAAUGCUAUGAUACCUAACUUGGAACAGUCAACGGCGAAGGCGACCUUUUAUGUAAAAACUGACGUUGAAGGACGAAGGCUUAGGACACCAACAGGAUUAGAUACCCUGGCAGUCUAGGCAGACAAUGAUGAAUGUCAUAGAUUAGAGUUAUAAUUUUGUCUAUAAAUGAAAGUGUAAGCAUUCCACCUCAAGAGUAAUGCGGCAACGCAGGAACUGAAAUCAUUAGACCGUUUCUGAAACCAGUAGUGGAGUAUGUUGUUUAAUUUGUAUGUACGCAAAAAACCUUACCACAGUCUGAAUAGAUAUUUAUAUAUCAUACAAGCGUUGCACGGCUGUUUUCAGUUAAUGUCGUGAGAUAUUGGUUAGCUCCAUUAAUUAACGUAAACCCUUGCUUUAUUUCUUAUUAUAAAGUAGUUCACCGGCACAAUGGUCAUGAUAAAAGGGAUUAAGACAAGUCAAUAUGGCCUUAGUAUUGUGGGCUAUAGACGUGCUACAUAGGCCUUUACAAAGGGAUGCGAAAUUGUGAAAUU